AGAGUUUGAUCCUGGCUCAGGAUGAACGCUGGCGGCGCGCCUAACACAUGCAAGUCGAACGAGCGAGAGAGAGCUUGCUUUCUCAAGCGAGUGGCGAACGGGUGAGUAACGCGUGAGGAACCUGCCUCAAAGAGGGGGACAACAGUUGGAAACGACUGCUAAUACCGCAUAAGCCCACAGCUCGGCAUCGAGCAGAGGGAAAAGGAGCAAUCCGCUUUGAGAUGGCCUCGCGUCCGAUUAGCUAGUUGGUGAGGUAACGGCCCACCAAGGCAACGAUCGGUAGCCGGACUGAGAGGUUGAACGGCCACAUUGGGACUGAGACACGGCCCAGACUCCUACGGGAGGCAGCAGUGGGGAAUAUUGCACAAUGGGGGAAACCCUGAUGCAGCGUCGCCGCGUGGAGGAAGAAGGUCUUCGGAUUGUAAACUCCUGUUGUUGAGGAAGAUAAUGACGGUACUCAACAAGGAAGUGACGGCUAACUACGUGCCAGCAGCCGCGGUAAAACGUAGGUCACAAGCGUUGUCCGGAAUUACUGGGUGUAAAGGGAGCGCAGGCGGGAAGACAAGUUGGAAGUGAAAUCUAUGGGCUCAACCCAUAAACUGCUUUCAAAACUGUUUUUCUUGAGUAGUGCAGAGGUAGGCGGAAUUCCCGGUGUAGCGGUGGAAUGCGUAGAUAUCGGGAGGAACACCAGUGGCGAAGGCGGCCUACUGGGCACCAACUGACGCUGAGGCUCGAAAGUGUGGGUAGCAAACAGGAUUAGAUACCCUGGUAGUCCACACCGUAAACGAUGAUUACUAGGUGUUGGAGGAUUGACCCCUUCGGUGCCGCAGUUAACACAAUAAGUAAUCCACCUGGGGAGUACGACCGCAAGGUUGAAACUCAAAGGAAUUGACGGGGGCCCGCACAAGCAGUGGAGUAUGUGGUUUAAUUCGACGCAACGCGAAGAACCUUACCAAGUCUUGACAUCCUGCGACGAUGCUGGAAACAGUAUUUUCCUUCGGGACGCAGAGACAGGUGGUGCAUGGUUGUCGUCAGCCCGUGUCGUGAGAUGUUGGGUUAAGUCCCGCAACGAGCGCAACCCUUACUGUCAGUUACUACGCAAGAGGACUCUGGCAGGACUGCCGUUGACAAAACGGAGGAAGGUGGGGAUGACGUCAAAUCAUCAUGCCCUUUAUGACUUGGGCUACACACGUACUACAAUGGCGUUAAACAAAGAGAAGCAAGACCGCGAGGUGGAGCAAAACUCAGAAACAACGUCCCAGUUCGGACUGCAGGCUGCAACUCGCCUGCACGAAGUCGGAAUUGCUAGUAAUCGUGGAUCA
Molecule: ribosomal RNA, 1322 nt
Filed under: uncultured bacterium
Lineage: Bacteria
Description: bacterial SSU rRNA
Rfam family: Bacterial small subunit ribosomal RNA
Source: RNAcentral